AGUGAACGCUGGCGGUAGGCCUAACACAUGCAAGUCGAACGGAAGCACAGUAAGAGCUUGCUCUUACGGGUGGCGAGUGGCGGACGGGUGAGGCAUACAUCGGAAUCUACUUUUUCGUGGGGGAUAACGUAGGGAAACUUACGCUAAUACCGCAUACGACCUACGGGUGAAAGCAGGGGAUCUUGGGACCUUGCGCGAUUGAAUGAGCCGGUGUCGGAUUAGCUAGUUGGCGAGGUAAAGGCCCACCAAGGCGACGAUCCGUAGCUGGUCUGAGAGGAUGAUCAGCCACACUGGAACUGAGACACGGUCCAGACUCCUACGGGAGGCAGCAGUGGGGAAUGUUGGACAAUGGGCGCAAGCCUGAUCCAGCCAUACCGCGUGAGUGAAGAAGGCCUUCGGGUUGUAAAGCCCUUUUAUUGGGAAAGAAAAGCAGCAGGUUAAUACCCCGCUGUUCUGACGGUACCCAAAGAAUAAGCACCGGCUAACUUCGUG
RNAcentral lists this ribosomal RNA (492 nucleotides) under uncultured bacterium. Its description in RNAcentral is "partial 16S ribosomal RNA". It matches the Rfam family "Bacterial small subunit ribosomal RNA", at positions 29 to 507 of the family's 1533-position model. The record is from RNAcentral.